RNAcentral lists this long non-coding RNA (614 nucleotides) under Physcomitrium patens. RNAcentral describes it as "long non-coding RNA (PPAT_LNC000684)". The record is from RNAcentral. Lineage: Eukaryota; Viridiplantae; Streptophyta; Bryopsida; Funariales; Funariaceae.
AAUUAGGAUUUGGUUUAGAAUUAGGAUUAGGAUUUUGGAUUGAUUUAAGAUUUAGUUAGGAUUAAAACUUGAUUAGAGUUAGAAUUAGGAUUUUAGAUUUUAUUUAAGAUUUGAUUAGGAUUAGGAUUUGGUAUUGCUUAGAGCUUAUUUAGGAUUUGUUUAGAGUUUGACUAAGGUUUGUCUAGGAUUUGGUUAAGGUUUAGUUAGAAUUUAGUGUUUGGUUUAGAGUUUGGUUUGGUUAGGAUUUAGUUACGGUUUAGGAUUUGUCUAAGGUUUGUCUAGGAUUUGGUUAGGGCUUAUUUAGAAUUUGUAUAAGAUUUUACUAAGAUUUGUUUAGGAUUUGGUUAGGGCUUAUUUAAGAUUUGAUUAAGGUUUAUUUAAGAUUUGACUAAGAUUUGUUUAAUGUUUGUUCAAGAUUUAGUUAGGACUUAUUUAGGAUUUGACUAGGAUUUAUUUAGGAUUUGAUUAGAAUUUGUCUAAGAUUUAAUUAGGACCAUUUAGGAUUUGACUAAGGUUUGAUUAAGGUUUGACUAGGAUUUAAUUAAGAAAUUUAUUUUAAUAUUUUAUUAAUAUUUCUAUUUUAGUAUAUUUUUGAAUUUUUAUGUUAUUUUUUU